Molecule: ribosomal RNA, 460 nt
Filed under: uncultured bacterium
Lineage: Bacteria
Description: partial 16S ribosomal RNA
Rfam family: Bacterial small subunit ribosomal RNA
Source: RNAcentral
CCUACGGGUGGCAGCAGUGAGGAAUAUUGGUCAAUGGGCGCGAGUCUGAACCAGCCAAGUAGCGUGAAGGAUGACUGCCCUACGGGUUGUAAACUUCUUUUAUAAAGGAAUAAAGUGUUGCACGUGUGCCUUUUUGUAUGUACUUUAUGAAUAAGGAUCGGCUAACUCCGUGCCAGCAGCCGCGGUAAUACGGAGGAUCCGAGCGUUAUCCGGAUUUAUUGGGUUUAAAGGGAGCGUAGGUGGAUUGUUAAUCCAGUUGUGAAAGUUUGCGGCUCAACCGUAAAAUUGCAUUUGAUACUGGCAGUCUUGAGUACAGUAGAGGUAGGCGGAAUUCGUGGUGGAGCGGUGAAAUGCUUAGAUAUCACGAAGAACUCCGAUUGCGAAGGCAGCCUACUAAACUGCCACUGACAUUGAGGCUCGAAAGUGUGGGUAUCAAACAGGAUUAGAUACCCCAGUAGUC